GUCAACUGCACCGGUACAUACAGAAAUUGUUGCCCAAGAUUUGGCACGGUUCUCUCCUGACAAAUUCAGCAUUUCAUUGGGAAGAACAAGAAUUCAAAUCCUGAUAUAAUCAGGCUGUUCAGAUAAGGUGUGUAAUCCACCUCUGUUGCUUGAAAAUAAGAUGCUACUCAUGUCUGGGUAAGUAGGUCAAAUUCAUCUCUUUAUGAUCACUGACAAUGUCUUCAUGGCCCUGGUUGUACUCCUGUCAGCUGUAAUGCACACGUGGAAGCACUCAAGGUGACAUUAAAGAUAGAUGGGAUAAUCACUGCAGCCUGCUGCUGCACUGAGAUGUGGUGCUGAUGCCCCAGGUUUAGCUUUUGUAUUUCUCAGAUUCUGCGCUGCUUUAGUGUGUGGGUUUGGGCUUCAUAUUAGGGGAUAGUAAGCUCUCUUCACACAAUGGGUAAACAAAACAAGUCCUUCUCUAGCUGGGGCCCCAAGGACAGCCAAUCCAGAUCUCAGGCCCAAGAUCAUAAACAAUGCUGGACUGAAGGGAGAAAAACAAGAAGGAUGGCACUUCAUGGGCUGGAGCUGUAAUUGGACAAUUAGCUCCAAUAUGAUACCAAAACUUAUAAAAGUGUGAGACCCCAUGACCAGUUGUCCAUUUUGUCACCAUUUUGGGUUCACCUGGGUUGUAGCCCUGGCUGGGCUCUUGUGCUGCCCAAGGUGGAUCCAUUGAGGCCUCCUAAUAAAUACCUGCUUUAUUCUUUAGCUCUGUCUAGUCUCUGUUCUAGGUCAGCCUUCACAAGGCACCAGUGCCACGGCCUUUUCAGGGCAGGUUAGCUUGCAGUGGGCACACAAGGCAUCGUCACCAUUCCUGUCUUUGAUCUCAGGUGUGAAUGAGUAAGUAUUGAGACUGAACUGUCUGUCUGCCCAAGGUUCCUCCUUAUCCUGGAGAUAAGGAAAGCUUGCUUUGCUCUAAAUCAGAGUUUUCCAUCUUCAGGAAAAUCAGUGCAAUGCCUUGCAAAACAAAGAAGAGCUCUGUGGAAGCACAUGAAGUAAAUGGACUUCAUAAAAGUACAGGAAAUGUGACAGGCAUACACAGCAAUGCAGAUGAUUUUUCUGCUGGAUGUAUCAGGAUAAUGUGGCUGGAAAGAUGCAUGAAAAAUCCAUGUCACAUCCAGGUGAGAUUUUAUGCUCUCAUGCAGGACAAACUAAUCAGUUAUGAUACUGAAAUACUGUAUUAAUAUUUCUAUUAAUAUUCAAAAUUAAGCAGAUUUGCUUAGAUAUUAGUGUGCAAAUGAAUUGCUUAGCCAAGGUUUAAGCAAAGCAAGUUUUCCUGCAAAAUAUGUUUUUUCAUCCACUUUGCCUUGUCUUGUUUUAUUGUGAAAUGGCAAAAGAAUGUGGUUCAAAAGUAAAAUCAAUAAUCAAAUUGUGCAAGCAUCAAGUUAUCCAGUGAUAUUUUGCACUAAAUGCUUAAUUUGAUCUGUCUACAGUGUUGGCUUAGUUGCUCAUACUGAAACCAAACAUCCAGCAAUACAACAGAUGGUGUAAAAAUACUAGUUUUCUUAAAAACUUCUUAUAGUCAACAAGAAGUCAUGAAGUUCAAUCCAGCCUCCUGUAAACAAGAUGCAUUUGUGGAUGGAAAUUCCAUUAAAAUAAGAUAAACAAAUAUGCAAGUCUUGAGCAGGAAGUUGGAGACCACUGUUGGGGGCAGGGGAAAGAGUGAAAGCAGUACAUUAAUUCCCUUAAUUCGAAGCAGUGUCUUGAAACAGUGUUUUCUGUGCAUCCUCUGAGGCCGCUGACACUGCAGCCCAGUGAGACCUUUCAGAUACUGCUUCUACAUUGCUCUGGAAUGGGUGUACUUCAGGAAAAUUUGUAAUUAGAAAUUUUUACUGCUGCUUAAUUUUUUCACUUUUUUGUUUUUUUUUUUUAAUAGUUAGAUAAUUUUAUAGUCCCAUUUUAAUUCAUUAGUAGAUUUUUAAAGAUCUUAAGACAUUGCUGAGAAUAGUCCACUAUUCCUUUAGUUCAAGCCACUGGUAGUUAAACUAUGAGAGAGCACAGGAAUCAUACAGACCAACAUAUUACUUUCUGCAAUUAAUAAGCAGGUUGGUGAAAAAGCACUUCAGAACACUGUGAUUUUGGCUUUAUGGAUAAUUAUUUACAUACUGUGUAUUUUGGGACAUAUAUUGUCUAUGAUAACAUUGACUCAUUGCAUUGAGAAACCUCUUGCAAAUGGCUUAUCUUAAAAUACAGAAUAUAUGAUAAAGGAAAGUCAGGUGGAGAUAGACAAUAUAAUGCCAGAAAGAAACACCUAACUGGGCAAUGUCAGUUGUGAAGUCUGAUGGCACAAUUUUUGUAGAAAAAUGUAAAACUACUAAUUAAGAGGAAAGGAAGAUUAAAAUGUUAAAAUUUUCCAAUGAAAAUCUUUUUCAGACUGUUGAGGAAGUUGCUGAUCUUGGUGCACUGCAGAGACAUCAGUGAAGCAGCCCACAGACAGCAAUAUUUCAUUACUGACAGAAAAAAGGAUUGCUGGAGAAGAAAAUGGGAUAAUUUUAAUUUUCCAGAUAUCCAAUCCUUUUGAGGAGACCAUGACAUUAAUACAAGCAUUGUGACUUUACCAUGGCUGAAUGCCAAGCCAAGACUUUCUGAAACCAAUUACUGACCAUCUCCUUUUGCUGAUCAUGUUCAUGAAUAAAAGGUUAGCAGAUUAUGUGGUAUAAUAUUCU
RNAcentral lists this long non-coding RNA (2705 nucleotides) under Zonotrichia albicollis (white-throated sparrow). RNAcentral's name for it is "lncRNA (ENSZALG00000017167.1)". The record is from RNAcentral. Lineage: Eukaryota; Metazoa; Chordata; Aves; Passeriformes; Passerellidae.